This 445-nucleotide ribosomal RNA is filed under the name uncultured Blastocystis sp. Its description in RNAcentral is "bacterial SSU rRNA". It matches the Rfam family "Eukaryotic small subunit ribosomal RNA", at positions 539 to 990 of the family's 1831-position model. The record is from RNAcentral. Lineage: Eukaryota; Bigyra; Opalinata; Blastocystidae.
GAUAAACAAUUGGAGGGCAAGUCUGGUGCCAGCAGCCGCGGUAAUUCCAGCUCCAAUAGCGUAUAUUAACGUUGUUGCAGUUAAAAAGCUCGUAGUUGAAAUGAAGGGUAGUUGUGUAAUGAAUACAUUCGUGUAUUUUGUUAUUCAACUACCCUCCUUCUAAAUUCGAUAUAUGAGUAUUAAUUUACUUGUAUAUGGUUUUAGACGUUUACUGUGAGAAAAUUAGAGUGUUCAAAGCAGGCAUUUGCUUGAAUAUAUUAGCAUGGAAUAAUCAUGUAUGAUUUUCAUGAUGUAUUUGAUUGGUUUGGUUCAUGAGAAUAAGAUUAAAAGGGACAGUUGGGGGUAUUCAUAUUCAAUAGUCAGAGGUGAAAUUCUCGGAUUUAUGGAAGAUGAACAAGUGCGAAAGCAUUUACCAAGGAUGUUUUCAUUAAUCAAGAACGAAAGU